Molecule: ribosomal RNA, 233 nt
Filed under: uncultured bacterium
Lineage: Bacteria
Description: partial 16S ribosomal RNA
Rfam family: Bacterial small subunit ribosomal RNA
Source: RNAcentral
UACGUAGGGUGCAAGCGUUGUCCGGAAUUAUUGGGCGUAAAGAGCUCGUAGGCGGUUUGUCGCGUCUGCUGUGAAAACCUAAGGCUCAACCUUGGGCUUGCAGUGGGUACGGGCAGACUAGAGUGCGGUAGGGGUGACUGGAAUUCCUGGUGUAGCGGUGGAAUGCGCAGAUAUCAGGAGGAACACCGAUGGCGAAGGCAGGUCACUGGGCCGCAACUGACGCUGGAGGAGCG